AUAUCCUUAAAGAUUUAGUUAAUAUAUUAUAUGCAAUUCACAUAACUAUAAAUUCAUCAAAGUAAAUAAUUUAUUUAAAUUUUAUAUCAACAAAACCAUCAAAUUACUAAAAUCAAAUAAAUCAAAAAAUUAAUAUUAAAAAUUAAAAUGUUAAAUAAUUAAAUACUCAAAUCAAAAUGAUUUAUAGUUCGGAUAAAUUUUAUAAAUUUUAUAUUUUAUCUUUAAUCU
Molecule: long non-coding RNA, 228 nt
Filed under: Ananas comosus (pineapple)
Lineage: Eukaryota; Viridiplantae; Streptophyta; Magnoliopsida; Poales; Bromeliaceae
Description: long non-coding RNA (ACOM_LNC016236)
Source: RNAcentral